Molecule: ribosomal RNA, 468 nt
Filed under: uncultured bacterium
Lineage: Bacteria
Description: partial 16S ribosomal RNA
Rfam family: Bacterial small subunit ribosomal RNA
Source: RNAcentral
GACGAACGCUGGCGGCGUGCUUAACACAUGCCAGUCGAACGGAAAGACCCUGCUUUUGUGGGGUGCUCGAGUGGCGAACGGGUGAGUAACACGUGAGUAACCUGCCCUUGACUUUGGGAUAACUUCAGGAAACUGGGGCUAAUACCGGAUAGGAGCUCCUGCUGCAUGGUGGGGGUUGGAAAGUUUCGGCGGUUGUGGAUGGACUCGCGGCUUAUCAGCUUGUUGGUGGGGUAGUGGCUUACCAAGGCUUUGACGGGUAGCCGGCCUGAGAGGGUGACCGGCCACAUUGGGACUGAGAUACGGCCCAGACUCCUACGGGAGGCAGCAGUGGGGAAUAUUGCACAAUGGGCGGAAGCCUGAUGCAGCAACGCCGCGUGCGGGAUGACGGCCUUCGGGUUGUAAACCGCUUUCGCCUGUGACGAAGCGUGAGUGACGGUAAUGGGUAAAGAAGCACCGGCUAACUACGUG